Molecule: long non-coding RNA, 2499 nt
Organism: Alligator mississippiensis (American alligator)
Lineage: Eukaryota; Metazoa; Chordata; Crocodylia; Alligatoridae
Exons: 3
Source: RefSeq, a predicted model, not a curated record
GGGCUGCCACUCAGGGUAGGAGGCCUGUGGAGGAAAUGAAACAUAUACUGUCAAGUUCACUAGUAUCCUUUCCAAGUUCACUAGUAUCUCUUGAGGCCUUUUUAAAAAAAAAAAAAAUUUAAAACCAGAAAAUGGGACUUCUGGGUUCUUUCCCAGAUCCGUCUUGCUGUCUGACCUGACGCAAGUCAUUUCAGUGACUUCUGCCUUUGCUUUUUCCUUCUAUACCAUGGCUGCAAGCUGGGCAAUAGGAAGAUAAACCACUGCCAUCACCUGGAGACCAUCACAAUGGGCUGACCAUGCGUCAUGCUGCCAACAGCUAAUCAAGAGGAUCUUUAUUAGCGGGGGAGGAAGAUGACGCCCAGCAGCUAUUGUGAGCUUUGCUACCGUCAUAGCACGUGACGCUGUGAUAGUUGUAGACUUCAGAUGGAAGAUGCAAGCCCAUUGCUAUCUCCCGCUGAGAGGGAAGGGACAGGCCAGCCUUUGUUCUCCUGUGAACCUGUUCACAGUGAGGACACAACGCUGCUCGGGACAAGGGAGACGGAAAGGAAGAGACCAGCGAGCAGGACCUUAGAGGAGAGUUAUCUGCUGGUCCACAAGUCAGGAGGAUGGACAGGACAGCCAAAGGCAACAGACACAAGGAGCGAUGCCACAGGAUUCAAUCUCACCAUCCUUGCCCAGGCGAAGUCCCCACUGAAGUGAGAUUUCUACUGGAGGAGAAAUCCCAGUAAUUGCUGUGGGAUUUGGUAGAUGGCCAUGUCUUCCUACAACCAUAACUGGAUGCCUAAUUCAAUGCAGAAGCAGCUGCUCCAGGAGUAACGAGGUUGAAGGAUGCCACCACAAGCUUCCAAACCUACUUAGAUACCUUGGUAGCAAUAAAGCAAGCUCCACUUGCUCUACAGUUUUGUUCUCUGUGAUAAAAUACAGGUCUGAAUUUUGCUGGCUGGUAUCAGUCCCAAUCUUGAGCACUUUCAUAGGCCAUGAAAAAAGGAGAUCCUCCAAGCAAAGCUGACGGUGCAAAUAAUUUUAACAUUUUAAUAUGGUAUCCAAAGUGCUCAUGAUGCUGAAUAGAGAGAUAAAAACUACAACCAAGGUUUGAGGGGUAUACAGUCAAGGCUAGACACCAGAAAUGGAGAUGUGCCAUCAGACCAAAAAGAGAGAGGUCUGCAUCUUGUUAGAGCCCUUUUCAACUCCAUUUAGAUUUAAUUAGGGUUGGUGUAAAAAUGUUGGGAUCAUUGCUGGGGACAGAACGUGUCAUUGAUUGUGGGUUUGGAGGAAGACUCUGAAGCAGGAGGAAGCUGGUUUUGUUGCAUGUGGAGUCCAAAACCAGGCACACAGGGCAGCGUAAAAGUGCAGAGAUGUUUGCAAAUAAAGGGCACAAAGGAUCAAGACUAGAAAGAGUAUGAAGUUGUGGACACGUCACAAUUACGAUGGAGCAAUUCACCCGGAGUUUGCUCUGCAAGAGAGGUGCUCAACCCCCGGCCCAAGAAGCCAUGUCAUCUGGCCCACCAGGCUCUCCGUGGUUCCAGAAGUUUGGUGGUGGGGAGCAGUGGCAGAGAACUGCUGCUCAUCUGCUACUCAAUUUAUGGACCUCUGGGGAGCUAGGUGGGUCGGAUACUGUGGUUGUGCACGCUACACCAAACACAUGGGUCUGGGGCAAUGUGAAGCCCCAUCUGGGUGCAUGGGGCCAGGCUGAGGGAGUGCAGUCUGAUUGGGGUGACCCCAAAUUGGGCAUGGGAGGUCAAACUCUGUGCACGGACCCUGCAGGGGAGGCAGCCUGAAGGCUAGCUCUGCGCCACUCAUUCAUCCUGCGGGGCUGAAACAUUGAACACUGGUGCUCUGCAAGAAGGAGCUGACAUGGGGCCAGUGCUCUUGAACAAGAUACGAUCACAGGUCUGGCCACGAGGUGACAGGAGAGCCGGUUCACAUUGAGUGGUGAGCUGCCCCGGAAAUUAAACUUGUACAGGGAACUUCUAUAUCCCAUCUAGUUGUGUUCAUAGAUAUUUUCCCAGGAGUAACUAUAUACCGGAUAGAAGUGAUUUAUUACAAUGCAGAGCUGUGCAUAUGUCUGCUUCACUCUUACUAGAUGAAGUCCAUUUACCCUGUUCCAAACAUCUUGUGUCUGCACCCGCAGUGGGUUAGCGGUGGGCAAGAGAUGGGAUGGGACUCGGGCUGUUUAAGGAAGGACUCUGCAUCCAAAUGUUCAGAUAUGCCAUUGCUGAGUGCAUGAAACUCUCUCCCCAUCUGUACAUAUGUAUGCAACCACAAGAGUCAAGCUCAGCGUGUGGACACCGAGAACCUCAAGAUACAGAUUGUGCCCUAUAUUAGCAACAGUUCAGAUGCAUUUUCAUUUAUUUAUAAUAUCACCAAAAUGACACAUAAACCUAACAGAUGCCUUCCAGCCUUAUCCAGCAAUUUACGGGGGAGUUUGUCUUUCUUUGAGCUUCCACGGGCUUCUCUUUGUCUUUCUGAUAAAUCAGUAAACCCAGCAGGCCUUUGAAC